AAUAAAAGUCUCCUGCAAGCAGGACUCGACAAGUUUGGCAUAGAAAAUUGACUUGUUUCAAAAUAAGCUUUAUCAGUUUCAUAGUGUUCUUUGACAAUUUGUAGGAAAGGUUCAGUAGUAUUUCUUUUAUAUAAACAGCCUAGAACUCUGAGUUGCAGAUCCUCUGUUUAAUUGAGAAAGGAUCUUGGGGGUUAUGGCCCAAAUGUUGCAUAGGAUUGUUAAAAUAUGUAGCAUUUUUUCUGAAAGUACAUAAUUUGUAUAUUUUAUGUGAUCAGUGACUCUCUUAUUUUUUUCAGUAUAUUUUUGGAGAUUUUAGCCCUGAUGAAUUCAAUCAGUUCUUUGUGACUCCUCGAUCUUCAGUUGAGCUUCCUCCAUACAGUGGAACAGUUCUGUGUGGCACACAGGCUGUGGAUAAACUACCUGAUGGACAAGAAUAUCAGAGAAUUGAGUUUGGUGUCGAUGAAGUCAUUGAACCCAGUGACACUUUGCCGAGAACCCCCAGCUACAGUAUUUCAAGCACACUGAACCCUCAGGCCCCUGAAUUUAUUCUCGGUUGUACAACUUCCAAAACAAC
Molecule: small RNA, 574 nt
Filed under: Pongo abelii (Sumatran orangutan)
Lineage: Eukaryota; Metazoa; Chordata; Mammalia; Primates; Hominidae
Description: retained intron
Source: RNAcentral